GUGAACGCUGGCGGCGUGCUUAACACAUGCAAGUCGAACGAUGAAGUCCCUCGGGAUGGAUUAGUGGCGCACGGGUGAGUAAUAUAUAGUUAAUGUGCCUCGAAGACUGGGAUAGCCACUGGAAACGGUGAUUAAUACUAGAUACACCUCUUUAGCUCAAGCUAGAGAGGGAAACGUUUUUUCGCUUCGAGAUCAGACUAUAUCCUAUCAGUUAGUUGGUGAGGUAAUGGCUCACCAAGGCAAUGACGGGUAGCGGUUCUGAGAGGAUGAUCCGCCACACUGGUACUGCGACACGGACCAGACUCCUACGGGAGGCAGCAGUGAGGAAUAUUGCACAAUGGGGGAAACCCUGAUGCAGCAACGCCGCGUGGAGGAUGACGCAUUUCGGUGUGUAAACUCCUUUUAUAUGUCAAGAAAAUGACGGUAGCAUAUGAAUCAGCACCGGCUACCUCCGU
This 455-nucleotide ribosomal RNA is filed under the name uncultured bacterium. Its description in RNAcentral is "bacterial SSU rRNA". It matches the Rfam family "Bacterial small subunit ribosomal RNA", at positions 29 to 506 of the family's 1533-position model. The record is from RNAcentral.